AAGCAAACAUCACUGUAAAGAGAGGAGCAAGCAAGAGGAUGGAAAGUGAAGAAAAAUGAUCAUUUCCAUAUUGAGCUAUCCUGGGAAACAAAAUGAAAAUCACUUCUUUCCAUGGAAAGCUUUGCAGCAACAGGAACUGCCUUAGUUGCAGAGAACUGCCUCAAUGCACUCAGUAGACACGACAGGAGUGGAUAAAGAUAUUGUGUGAGGCCCAGCUACAUUAGAAGGCACUGCCCCGCCAAACUGCCAAAAGGUAGGAAGUUAGUCUCUGCAAUCUUGUCAAUAUCAACUUCGGGGGAUUUCAUCACAUCUUUGCCAACCCAAAGAUUUUAGUAUAUACCUAAAAUCGACAGACAAUCUGAGCAAAAUAGCUUAUUCCAUAUCUUUCUUUCAACCAAAAUUUAUUAGGAAACUAUAAAAUUUCAGCUCUUGACUAGGUUCUGGGAUAUAGGAUAGGAUGGGAUAGUAUAGAAUAGAAUGGAAUAGAAUGGAACAUUCCCUGACAUUAUGUAUAUCUC
This 518-nucleotide long non-coding RNA is filed under the name Ailuropoda melanoleuca (giant panda). RNAcentral's name for it is "lncRNA (ENSAMEG00000026046.1)". The record is from RNAcentral. Lineage: Eukaryota; Metazoa; Chordata; Mammalia; Carnivora; Ursidae.